RNAcentral lists this ribosomal RNA (481 nucleotides) under uncultured bacterium. RNAcentral's name for it is "partial 16S ribosomal RNA". It matches the Rfam family "Bacterial small subunit ribosomal RNA", at positions 30 to 507 of the family's 1533-position model. The record is from RNAcentral.
UUGAACGCUGGCGGCAUGCUUUACACAUGCAAGUCGAACGGUAACAGGCCGCAAGGUGCUGACGAGUGGCGAACGGGUGAGUAAUGCAUCGGAACGUGCCCAGUCGUGGGGGAUAACUACUCGAAAGAGUAGCUAAUACCGCAUACGAUCUAUGGAUGAAAGCGGGGGACCGUAAGGCCUCGCGCGAUUGGAGCGGCCGAUGUCAGAUUAGGUAGUUGGUGGGGUAAAGGCUCACCAAGCCAACGAUCUGUAGCUGGUCUGAGAGGACGACCAGCCACACUGGGACUGAGACACGGCCCAGACUCCUACGGGAGGCAGCAGUGGGGAAUUUUGGGCAAUGGGCGCAAGCCUGAUCCAGCAAUGCCGCGUGCAGGAAGAAGGCCUUCGGGUUGUAAACUGCUUUUGUACGGAACGAAACGGCUCUGGUUAAUACCCGGGGCUAAUGACGGUACCGUAAGAAUAAGCACCGGCUAACUACGUG